UCCGUAGGGGGCUAUCGUUAUCCGGAAUUACUGGGCGUAAAGGGUGCGUAGGCGGUCUUUCAAGCCAGAAGUGAAAGGCUACGGCUCCACCGUAGUAAGCUUUUGGAACUGUAGGACUUGAGUGCAGGAGAGGAGAGUGGAAUUCCUAGUGUAGCGGUGAAAUGCGUAGAUAUUAGGAGGAACACCAGUAGCGAAGGCGGCUCUCUGGACUGUAACUGACGCUGAGGCACGAAAGCGUGGGGAGCGAACAGG
Molecule: ribosomal RNA, 252 nt
Filed under: uncultured bacterium
Lineage: Bacteria
Description: partial 16S ribosomal RNA
Rfam family: Bacterial small subunit ribosomal RNA
Source: RNAcentral